Molecule: ribosomal RNA, 434 nt
Filed under: uncultured bacterium
Lineage: Bacteria
Description: partial 16S ribosomal RNA
Rfam family: Bacterial small subunit ribosomal RNA
Source: RNAcentral
AGCGAACGCUGGCGGCAGGCCUAACACAUGCAAGUCGAACGAACCUUUCGGGGUUAGUGGCGGACGGGUGAGUAACACGUGGGAACGUGCCUUUAGGUUCGGAAUAACUCAGGGAAACUUGUGCUAAUACCGAAUGUGCCCUUCGGGGGAAAGAUUUAUCGCCUUUAGAGCGGCCCGCGUCUGAUUAGCUAGUUGGUUGAGGUAAUGGCUCACCAAGGCGACGAUCAGUAGCUGGUCUGAGAGGAUGAUCAGCCACAUUGGGACUGAGACACGGCCCAAACUCCUACGGGAGGCAGCAGUGGGGAAUCGUGCGCAAUGGGCGAAAGACUGACGCAGCCAUGCCGCGUGAAUGAUGAAGGUCGUAGGAUUGUAAAAUUCUUUCAACGGGGACGAUAAUGACGGUACCCGGAGAAGAAGCCCCGGCUAACUUCGUG